This 440-nucleotide ribosomal RNA is filed under the name uncultured bacterium. Its description in RNAcentral is "partial 16S ribosomal RNA". It matches the Rfam family "Bacterial small subunit ribosomal RNA", at positions 338 to 795 of the family's 1533-position model. The record is from RNAcentral.
CCUACGGGAGGCUGCAGUGGGGAAUAUUGCACAAUGGGGGAAACCCUGAUGCAGCGACGCCGCGUGAGUGAAGAAGUCAUUCGUUAUGUAAAGCUCUAUUAGCAGGGAAGAAAAUGACGGUACCUGAGUAAGAAGCCCCGGCUAACUACGUGCCAGCAGCCGCGGGAAUACGUAGGGGGCAAGCGUUAUCCGGAUUUACUGGGGGUAAAGGGAGCGUAGACGGCAGUGCAAGUCUGGAGUGAAAGGCGGGGGCUCAACCCCCGGACUGCUCUGGAAACUGUACGGCUGGAGUGCAGGAGAGGUAAGUGGAAGGCGUGGUGUAGCGGUGAAAUGCGUAGAUAUUAGGAAGAACACCAGUGGCGAAGGCAGCUUACUGGAGUGUAACUGACGUUGAGGCUCGAAAGCGUGGGGAGCAAACAGGAUUAGAUACCCUGGUAGUC